This 71-nucleotide transfer RNA is filed under the name Pseudomonadota bacterium. RNAcentral's name for it is "tRNA-Cys". It matches the Rfam family "tRNA". Rfam says of the family: Transfer RNA (tRNA) molecules are approximately 80 nucleotides in length. Their secondary structure includes four short double-helical elements and three loops (D, anti-codon, and T loops). Lineage: Bacteria; Pseudomonadati; Pseudomonadota. The record is from RNAcentral. RNAcentral also lists the same sequence under 2 other names.
GGUGCCUUGGCCGAGUGGUUAGGCAGAGGUCUGCAAAACCUCCUACAUUGGUUCGAAUCCGAUAGGCACCU